Molecule: unclassified non-coding RNA, 922 nt
Filed under: Daphnia pulicaria
Lineage: Eukaryota; Metazoa; Arthropoda; Branchiopoda; Diplostraca; Daphniidae
Description: tyrosine-protein phosphatase 99A-like, transcript variant X1
Source: RNAcentral
AUUACCGAUGAAUUCAUUAGAAGUAACGGGAAAGAAAACAGUAGCAUACAAGUAGUCUACCAUCACUACCACCAACUCUUUUAUUAAAAAUCUUCGUUCUGCUGAAUGCAUCAUGCAGUUAAUAUAGGGAAAGCUAUGAAAAAUAUCAUAUCAUCUAGGCCAUGGGUAAUCUUCAGGUUUAUUUCAGCAGCUUAAGAGACGAAUGUGAACAAAUGCAGGGCACAUACCAACAUGUGUUGUAUUUUUCUGUUAAACACGAGCAAUUCAACAUGACUAACUGUUUGAUGCCAAAUUUAGUUGGAACUCAACUCACAUACAUUCAGAUAACUGGUGCUGUUGCCUUUCAGCCACAGGCAGGAAAAUUAUUCUUUUCUUCAGAAAAUUGGCUGCUGGAGUAAUCUGGUGUUUAUGCUCAUUUGAUACAUUUCGUGCCAGCUAGUGAAAGCCGAAAGGCAUGUCGAAUUCAAUUGAGCUGCUGCGUGCUGUCUCGAAGCAAGCAAUCCGGCCGUUGCGUUCAGUCAUUUGGAACAGGAAAUCUAAUGGCUGUCAACAUGUGGCUGUGAAUAAGUGGCUGAAAUUAUGUCCACCAGAUGGCGCGAGUGUCUUCAUUUUGUUCCAAGACGCAGCGGAAAUUGAUUGUUGGUUGUGACGUUUCUCACGAUGAAAAUUAAAAGCACGUAGAAACCAAUUUACCAAAUCAUUCAACUCAGACUUGGAAGUGCCUGUACAUUUCCGAAAUGGCGUGCCUCGUGUGUCUCGCUGCCUUGUUCUUAGGCGUACGCCUCAUCCCAUGCAACAGCAAAAAGUAUAACAAACACUUCUUUAACGCUGGUGGUUACCUUGUUGCAGCCAAAUGGUGAAAGGUGUGAUGAAGACAGAUUGAACCAUUGUAUGCAGCAUGUGGUUGCAGUGUAAUCCAGAA